Molecule: ribosomal RNA, 304 nt
Filed under: uncultured bacterium
Lineage: Bacteria
Description: partial 16S ribosomal RNA
Rfam family: Bacterial small subunit ribosomal RNA
Source: RNAcentral
CAGCAGCCGCCGCGGUAAUACAGAGGGUGCGAGCGUUAAUCGGAUUUACUGGGCGUAAAGCGUGCGUAGGCGGCUAAUUGAGUCGGAUGUGAAAUCCCCGAGCUUAACUUGGGAAUUGCAUUCGAUACUGGUUAGCUAGAGUGUGGGAGAGGAUGGUAGAAUUCCAGGUGUAGCGGUGAAAUGCGUAGAGAUCUGGAGGAAUACCGAUGGCGAAGGCAGCCAUCUGGCCUAACACUGACGCUGAGGUACGAAAGCAUUGGGAGCAAACAGGAUUAGAUACCCCCGUAGUCCCUGUCUCUUAUAC